GAUGAACGCUGGCGGCGUGCCUAAUACAUGCAAGUCGAGCGAACAGACGAGGAGCUUGCUCCUCUGACGUUAGCGGCGGACGGGUGAGUAACACGUGGAUAACCUACCUAUAAGACUGGGAUAACUUCGGGAAACCGGAGCUAAUACCGGAUAAUAUAUUGAACCGCAUGGUUCAAUAGUGAAAGACGGUUUUGCUGUCACUUAUAGAUGGAUCCGCGCCGCAUUAGCUAGUUGGUAAGGUAACGGCUUACCAAGGCGACGAUGCGUAGCCGACCUGAGAGGGUGAUCGGCCACACUGGAUCUGAGACACGGUCCCGACUCCUACGGGAGGCAGCAGUAGGGAAUCUUCCGCGAUGCGCGAAUGCCUGACGGAGCAACGCCGCGUGAGUGAUGAAGGUCUUCGGAUCGUAAAACUCUGUUAUUAGGGAAGAACAAAUGUGUAAGUAACUAUGCACGUCUUGACGGUACCUAAUCAGAAAGCCACGGCUAACUACGUG
RNAcentral lists this ribosomal RNA (497 nucleotides) under uncultured bacterium. RNAcentral describes it as "partial 16S ribosomal RNA". It matches the Rfam family "Bacterial small subunit ribosomal RNA", at positions 28 to 507 of the family's 1533-position model. The record is from RNAcentral.